GGAGAGGUCGCUACGUGGCAAGGUAACUCGUCCUGAAAACGAGCGCCGUUGAAACCGGUUGCGAGUUCAACUCUCGCCCUCUCCU
RNAcentral lists this transfer RNA (85 nucleotides) under Chloroflexota bacterium. RNAcentral's name for it is "Chloroflexi bacterium (groundwater metagenome) tRNA-Ser". Lineage: Bacteria; Bacillati; Chloroflexota. The record is from RNAcentral.